This 301-nucleotide ribosomal RNA is filed under the name uncultured bacterium. Its description in RNAcentral is "partial 16S ribosomal RNA". It matches the Rfam family "Bacterial small subunit ribosomal RNA", at positions 509 to 807 of the family's 1533-position model. The record is from RNAcentral.
CAGCAGCCGCGGGAAUACGGAGGGUGCAAGCGUUAAUCGGAAUUACUGGGCGUAAAGCGCACGCAGGCGGUCUGUCAAGUCAGAUGUGAAAUCCCCGGGCUUAACCUGGGAACUGCAUUUGAAACUGGCAGGCUAGAGUCUUGUAGAGGGGGGUAGAAUUCCAGGUGUAGCGGUGAAAUGCGUAGAGAUCUGGAGGAAUACCGGUGGCGAAGGCGGCCCCCUGGACAAAGACUGACGCUCAGGUGCGAAAGCGUGGGGAGCAAACAGGAUUAGAUACCCGGGUAGUCCCUGUCUCUUAUAC